Molecule: ribosomal RNA, 830 nt
Filed under: Staphylococcus epidermidis
Lineage: Bacteria; Bacillati; Bacillota; Bacilli; Caryophanales; Staphylococcaceae
Description: bacterial SSU rRNA
Rfam family: Bacterial small subunit ribosomal RNA
Source: RNAcentral
UGCAGUCGAGCGAACAGACAAGGAGCUUGCUCCUUUGACGUUAGCGGCGGACGGGUGAGUAACACGUGGGUAACCUACCUAUAAGACUGGGAUAACUUCGGGAAACCGGAGCUAAUACCGGAUAAUAUUUCGAACCGCAUGGUUCGAUAGUGAAAGAUGGUUUUGCUAUCACUUAUAGAUGGACCCGCGCCGUAUUAGCUAGUUGGUAAGGUAACGGCUUACCAAGGCGACGAUACGUAGCCGACCUGAGAGGGUGAUCGGCCACACUGGAACUGAGACACGGUCCAGACUCCUACGGGAGGCAGCAGUAGGGAAUCUUCCGCAAUGGGCGAAAGCCUGACGGAGCAACGCCGCGUGAGUGAUGAAGGUCUUCGGAUCGUAAAACUCUGUUAUUAGGGAAGAACAUACGUGUAAGUAACUAUGCACGUCUUGACGGUACCUAAUCAGAAAGCCACGGCUAACUACGUGCCAGCAGCCGCGGUAAUACGUAGGUGGCAAGCGUUAUCCGGAAUUAUUGGGCGUAAAGCGCGCGUAGGCGGUUUUUUAAGUCUGAUGUGAAAGCCCACGGCUCAACCGUGGAGGGUCAUUGGAAACUGGAAAACUUGAGUGCAGAAGAGGAAAGUGGAAUUCCAUGUGUAGCGGUGAAAUGCGCAGAGAUAUGGAGGAACACCAGUGGCGAAGGCGACUUUCUGGUCUGUAACUGACGCUGAUGUGCGAAAGCGUGGGGAUCAAACAGGAUUAGAUACCCUGGUAGUCCACGCCGUAAACGAUGAGUGCUAAGUGUUUAGGGGGUUUCCGCCCCUUAGUGCUGCAGCUAACGCAUUAAGCAC